GAAAUACUCCCUUCGUCCAGAAAUACUCGUCUUCAAAAUGGAUAAAAAGAGAUGUAUCUAGAACUAAAAUACAUCUAGAUACAUCCCCUUUUAUCCAUUUUGAUGACAAGUAUUUCCGGACGGAGGGAGUAGAAA
Triticum aestivum (bread wheat) is the source of this 135-nucleotide non-coding RNA. Lineage: Eukaryota; Viridiplantae; Streptophyta; Magnoliopsida; Poales; Poaceae. The record is from Rfam.